AGCAGCACCACUCUCAAUGGCUUUUGCACUAAAUAAACAGGAUAAAUAGAGAAGGAAGGCUCAGGGAGAGGAAACAACUUGUCCCUGAGAGCUAGAAACAGACUGCAGGUCUCUCCUCCAGACCUGCCCUGCUUCUGCGUUAAUACCACU
Molecule: long non-coding RNA, 150 nt
Organism: Cygnus olor (mute swan)
Lineage: Eukaryota; Metazoa; Chordata; Aves; Anseriformes; Anatidae
Exons: 3
Source: RefSeq, a predicted model, not a curated record